UACGCCAUCUUCUCUCAAACCCAGCAGACGAACUCCAUGAACCAAACUCCGGGCACCGGAGUUAAGCCCCAGGUGGCCUGCAAGACGACCGAACACCACCAUAGGCGCAAGCGUGGCGGCAUCUUGAAAGGCCUACUAAGGUGCCUCUGCUUCCGCUCGCCCCCCACGAAACGUGGAGACGUCGUAAUGGAUCGCCGGAGAGGUGGAGGAUGGAGUUAAAUGAGUGAAUAAAGCAUGCUGAAUCUAGUCUUCGUAUUGAUAUAUGUAUACAGAUGCUGAAUAAAGCAUGCUUAUCUACAGUUACUGAAAAUCUCAAA
This 317-nucleotide long non-coding RNA is filed under the name Phoenix dactylifera (date palm). RNAcentral's name for it is "long non-coding RNA (PDAC_LNC001649)". Lineage: Eukaryota; Viridiplantae; Streptophyta; Magnoliopsida; Arecales; Arecaceae. The record is from RNAcentral.